This 1932-nucleotide long non-coding RNA is filed under the name Homo sapiens (human). RNAcentral's name for it is "long intergenic non-protein coding RNA 1128". Lineage: Eukaryota; Metazoa; Chordata; Mammalia; Primates; Hominidae. The record is from RNAcentral.
GGCCCUGCCAGUGUCUCCGCCGGUUGAAAGCGCGUGUCUGCGUCGGGUUCUGUUGGAGUGCGUUCGGUGCGCCGUGGGUCCGCGCUGCUUCCACCCAACUUCCUGUUAGUUUCUCUCCUGUCACAAUGGCAUGAUCUCGGCUCACUGCGACCUCUGCUUCCUGGGUUCAAGGAUUCUCCUGCCUCAGCCUCCCAAGUAGCUGGGAUUACAGUUUCCAUCAUUAUCUUCUAUGGAGUUCUUCAUUCCCACAUCUGUGGACCUUAAAAUCCUACCGUUGAGUGCCUGCCUUGGAUCAGCAGUCAGUUCGUUACCUUGGUUCUCAGACGAUGCUUGCAACAACGCCAUGCGAUUCGCCCACUCUUGGAGAAAAUAAGAGAAGUAUCCCUGAAGGAUGAAAUAUCCUCGAAUAUGAAAAGGUCUGCUCUCUGAAGACCAACUGUCUCAGUCUGCUUUUUGCUGCUGUAACAGAAUACCACAGACUUGUAGGCAGAGAAGCCUUCAGAGAAGGAUCCUGACUCGGUGGUUUGUGCAGUGACAUUUGGCAGUGUUUUCUCGGCAAGCGAGUCUUUGAGGCUGCCCUCAUGCUGCUCAGUGGGCACACCAAGAACAAGAGCUGGCCAGGGAUGACGGACGCAUCUAGGCCUUCUCGGCCUAAGGGUUACAUUAGUUAUACACUCUGGAGGUGACUUGACCUGUCAUUGUGAACAAUUAUUGCUCUUGGACGACCCAGGACAUAGGCCAGCCAGUACGUACCCCAGUGUGUUGGAGAAUCGCGCUCGGCUUCUUCCUCUGUGCUGAGUCAUGAAAGUUGCCGGAGCAGGUGCAGUUACACAACCUCCAGGUAUGAUCCUGUUUAAGGACUGGAUUUAGGAUAACUACUUAGAGGUUAAAAGUCACAAGGGUGUAUGGAUGAGGCUGGAGUGAUCUGGGACCAAAGACAUCUAGGCUUGCUGUCAAGGCUUCUGAUCAACAUGAGAUGACCGCCGUGUGGUAAACUGAUGAACCCUGACCCUGAUCAACAUGAGAUGACCGCCGUGUGGUAAACUGAUGAACCCCGACCCUGAUGAACGUGAGAUGACCGCCGUGUGGUAAACUGAUGAACCCCGACCCUGAUGAACGUGAGAUGACCGCCGUGUGGUAAACUGAUGAACCCCGACCCUGAUGAACGUGAGAUGACCGCCGUGUGGUAAACUGAUGAACCCCGACCCUGAUGAACGUGAGAUGACCGCCGUGUGGUAAACUGAUGAACCCCGACCCUGAUCAACGUGAGAUGACCGCCGUGUGGUAAACUGAUGAACCCCGACCCUGAUGAACAUGAGAUGACCGCCGUGUGGUAAACUGAUGAACCCCGACCCUGAUCAACAUGAGAUGACCGCCGUGUGGUAAACUGAUGAACCCCGACCCUGAUCAACAUGAGAUGACUGCCGUGUGGUAAACUGAUGAACCCUGACCCAUUAGGCUUUGGCUACAGAAUGUGGAAAUAAGUUGUGUUACUACAUGUGUGUAAUCCUAGGGUGCAGGACACCGGCCGGGAGGUUCCAUAGAGUGAUGGGUUCUGCAGGUAACUCAUCCUCUAGUCCUCUGUAAGCUCCUAGAAGGAAGAAAUUAUGUCCUUUAGACUAAUAAAAUUCCUCCAAACCAAAUACAGCACCUACUGUGAAGACACAAAGAUACUUUUAGAAUAGUAAAAACUUUAUCCAUUGAGAAAUUCCUUAAUGAAACAGUAUCCAAGAAGUCAUUUGCCAGCAGAUUUCUUAGAGGUGCGAUAAAGAAGAGGACAUUGCCAGUCGUCACAGCAGCUGCAAUAGCUCCUCUCUAUUGUUAAACAGUGGGAUAUCUUGUGCAGGUUUUCAGUUGACAAUCAAUUUUAAAGAUUAGUUUCGGUCCCCAUCAAUCAAUUAUUUAUUAACCCAUCAAUAAAAAUUUAAAUGC